This 73-nucleotide transfer RNA is filed under the name Promethearchaeota archaeon. RNAcentral's name for it is "tRNA-Tyr". It matches the Rfam family "tRNA". From Rfam's summary of the family: Transfer RNA (tRNA) molecules are approximately 80 nucleotides in length. Their secondary structure includes four short double-helical elements and three loops (D, anti-codon, and T loops). Further hydrogen bonds mediate the characteristic L-shaped molecular structure. tRNAs have two regions of fundamental functional importance: the anti-codon, which is responsible for specific mRNA codon recognition, and the 3' end, to which the tRNAs corresponding amino acid is attached (by aminoacyl-tRNA synthetases). tRNAs cope with the degeneracy of the genetic code in two manners: having more than one tRNA (with a specific anti-codon) for a particular amino acid; and 'wobble' base-pairing, i.e. permitting non-standard base-pairing at the 3rd anti-codon position. Lineage: Archaea; Promethearchaeati; Promethearchaeota. RNAcentral also lists the same sequence under 1 other name. The record is from RNAcentral.
CCCCCCUUAACUCAGUUGGUAGAGUGCUCGGCUGUAGACCGGGAUGUCGCCGGCUCGACUCCGGCAGGGGGGA